AUAGACCACUUUCUCCAGAGUCCAUAGAAUAGGUAAGGCCUCUGGGAAUAGACCACUUUCUCCAGAGUCCAUAGAAUAGGUAAGACCUCUGGGAAUAGACCACUUUCUCCAGAGUCCAUAGAAUAGGUAAGGCCUCUGGGAAUAGACCACUUUCUCCAGAGUCCAUAGAAUAGGUAAGACCUCUGGGAAUAGACCACUUUCUCCAGAGUCCAUAGAAUAGGUAAGGCCUCUGGGAAUAGACCACUUUCUCCAGAGUCCAUAGAAUAGGUAAGGCCUCUGGGAAUAGACCACUUUCUCCAGAGUCCAUAGAAUAGGUAAGGCCUCUGGGAAUAGACCACUGUCUCCAGAGUCCAUAGAAUAGGUAAGGCCUCUGGGAAUAGACCACUUUCUCCAGAGUCCAUAGAAUAGGUAAGGCCUCUGGGAAUAGACCACUUUCUCCAGAGUCCAUAGAAUAGGUAAGGCCUCUGGGAAUAGACCACUUUCUCCAGAGUCCAUAGAAUAGGUAAGACCUCUGGGAAUAGACCACUUUCUCCAGAGUCCAUAGAAUAGGUAAGGCCUCUGGGAAUAGACCACUUUCUCCAGAGUCCAUAGAAUAGGUAAGGCCUCUGGGAAUAGACCACUUUCUCCAGAGUCCAUAGAAUAGGUAAGACCUCUGGGAAUAGA
This is a long non-coding RNA of Oncorhynchus keta (chum salmon), 663 nucleotides long. RefSeq lists it as uncharacterized. The record is from RefSeq and is a predicted model, not a curated record. The transcript is spliced from 3 exons. Lineage: Eukaryota; Metazoa; Chordata; Actinopteri; Salmoniformes; Salmonidae.